Suncus etruscus (white-toothed pygmy shrew) is the source of this 107-nucleotide small nuclear RNA. Lineage: Eukaryota; Metazoa; Chordata; Mammalia; Eulipotyphla; Soricidae. The record is from RefSeq and is a predicted model, not a curated record.
GUGCUUGCUUCAGCAGCACAUAUACUAAAAUUGGAUCGAUACAGAGAAAAUCAGCAUGGCACCUGCACAAGGAUAACAUGCAAAUUCAUGAAGCAUUCCAUAUUUAA